RNAcentral lists this ribosomal RNA (432 nucleotides) under uncultured bacterium. RNAcentral's name for it is "partial 16S ribosomal RNA". It matches the Rfam family "Bacterial small subunit ribosomal RNA", at positions 29 to 506 of the family's 1533-position model. The record is from RNAcentral.
AACGAACGCUGGCGGCAUGCCUAACACAUGCAAGUCGAACGAGACCUUCGGGUCUAGUGGCGCACGGGUGCGUAACGCGUGGGAACCUGCCCUUAGGUUCGGAAUAACUCCCCGAAAGGGGUGCUAAUACCGGAUAAUGUCUUCGGACCAAAGAUCUAUCGCCUUUGGAUGGGCCCGCGUUGGAUUAGCUAGUUGGUAGGGUAAAAGCCUACCAAGGCGACGAUCCAUAGCUGGUCUGAGAGGAUGAUCAGCCACACUGGGACUGAGACCCGGCCCAGACUCCUCCGGGAGGCAGCAGUGGGGAAUAUUGGACACUGGGCGAAAGCCUGAUCCAGCAAUGCCGCGUGAGUGAUGAAGGCCUUAGGGUUGUAAAGCUCUUUUACCCGGGAUGAUAAUGACAGUACCGGGAGAAUAAGCUCCGGCUAACUCCGU